This 382-nucleotide ribosomal RNA is filed under the name Chaetogodavaria sinica. RNAcentral's name for it is "partial 12S ribosomal RNA". The record is from RNAcentral. Lineage: Eukaryota; Metazoa; Arthropoda; Insecta; Diptera; Phoridae.
CUAGAGUAUUAAUAGUUAUAUUCUUUAAACUUAAAAAAUUUGGCGGUAUUUUAGUCUGUUCAGAGGAACCUGUUUUUUAAUCGAUAAUCCACGAUGGACCUUACUUAAUCUUAUUAAUUAGUUUGUAUACCGUCGUUAUAGAAAAUUUUAUAAGAAAAAUAAUUUUCAAUAAAUUUUAUUAAAUUUAAUAUCAGAUCAAGGUGCAGCAUAUGGUUAAGAAAAUAAUGGGUUACAAUAAAGUUAUUUAUAUGGAUGUAGAUAUGCAAAAUUUAUUGAAAGUGGAUUUGAAAGUAAAAUUAUAAAGAUUAAUAAUUUGAUUUUAGCUCUAAAAUAUGUACAUAUCGCCCGUCACUCUUAUUUAUUAAGAUAAGAUAAGUCGUAA